Long non-coding RNA from Mus caroli (Ryukyu mouse), 417 nucleotides. RefSeq lists it as uncharacterized. The record is from RefSeq and is a predicted model, not a curated record. Lineage: Eukaryota; Metazoa; Chordata; Mammalia; Rodentia; Muridae.
AUUGGUGGUCUCAGCCAAGGGAGGUUGUGAAUGGACUCUGGCUGCUCUUUCUUGAUCUUCUUGAUGCAGACUGACAGGCUGCUGUGGCUGACUGAGGAAGGGGCGGCUGGAUCAUCUGAAUGCAGAGACUCUGCUGAGAGAAGGCGAGCAAAGAGGAGGCCCCGGCAGCGAGAGAGAGACUCUGCCGCCCUGGGAGAUGGAUGAGUCGGAUGCAACUAACCCUGGAUGAGAAUCCAUUGGUCAGCGAAGUAUCUUUCCAGGAACUAGUUUUCUAGAAGGUUCUAUCUCCAGCGGGAUUUCUCAGCAGCUGCACAAGGUGCAUAGCCAUUUGUUGCUCAAGAGAACAAAUCCUAGUGUCAGAAACACCAGAACAAGGUCUCUUAAAUCUAAUGACUUCUACUUGAUGGCCUUAUGUUU